Molecule: ribosomal RNA, 406 nt
Filed under: uncultured bacterium
Lineage: Bacteria
Description: bacterial SSU rRNA
Rfam family: Bacterial small subunit ribosomal RNA
Source: RNAcentral
UGGGGAAUAUUGCACAAUGGAGGAAACUCUGAUGCAGCAACGCCGCGUGAAGGAUGAAGGUUUUCGGAUCGUAAACUUCUUUGAUUGGGGACGAGUAAAUGACGGUACCCAAAAAGCAAGCCACGGCUAACUACGUGCCAGCAGCCGCGGUAAUACGUAGGUGGCGAGCGUUGUCCGGAAUUACUGGGUGUAAAGGGCGUGUAGGCGGGAAUGUAAGUCAGAUGUGAAACCCCGAGGCUUAACCUCGGAACUGCAUCUGAAACUGCGUUUCUUGAGUGCUGGAGAGGAAAGCGGAAUUCCUAGUGUAGCGGUGGAAUGCGUAGAUAUUAGGAGGAACACCAGUGGCGAAGGCGGCUUUCUGGACAGUUACUGACGCUGAGGCGCGAAAGCGUGGGGAGCAAACAGG